AUGACGAAGCUGAUAGCAUUGAGAAACGGUCUAAUCCUAGUAGGGCAAGUGGGAUGCAACAAGCUUUUGGUACACUCUAACUGUAUGGAUGUUAUUGCCACGAUGAAGAACUAUGGAACUCAGUCGGUGUCGCUGCUGCAGUUUAUGAAGAAUGAUCCUUCCUUUGUAGAGGUUCUGCUAUUGUCAAGAUCGAUCACUGACCUAGAGAAGCCAAUCAAGUUAGCUCAUUUUUUACCUCGUAAUUCCAAGAGUUCUAGUGCUAUUUUGUGGCAACAACAUGAACCACCUGACGUAAUAUUCGCGCACCUAACAAAUGAUGUAACUUUUAUACUCCUUCCGUCCUAA
RNAcentral lists this ribosomal RNA (345 nucleotides) under Triticum aestivum (bread wheat). Its description in RNAcentral is "partial small subunit ribosomal RNA". Lineage: Eukaryota; Viridiplantae; Streptophyta; Magnoliopsida; Poales; Poaceae. The record is from RNAcentral.